CCUUCAUGAAGCUGGAAUUGCUAGUAAUGGCAGGUCAGCAUACUGCCGUGAAUACGUUCCCGGGCCUUGUACACACCGCCCGUCACACCAUGAGAGUCGGGAACACCCGAAGUCCGUAGUCUAACCGCAAGGGGGACGCGGCCGAAGGUGGGUUCGAUAAUUGGGGUGAAGUCGUAACAAGGUAAC
Molecule: ribosomal RNA, 186 nt
Filed under: uncultured bacterium
Lineage: Bacteria
Description: partial 16S ribosomal RNA
Rfam family: Bacterial small subunit ribosomal RNA
Source: RNAcentral